UGGGGAAUUGUUCGCAAUGGGCGCAAGCCUGACGACGCAACGCCGCGUGGGGGAUGAAGGUCUUCGGAUUGUAAACCCCUGUCGAGCGGGACGAAUGGCUCGCGGUUGAACACACCGCGGGAAUGACGGUACCGCUAAAGGAAGCCACGGCUAACUCUGUGCCAGCAGCCGCGGUAAUACAGAGGUGGCAAGCGUUGUUCGGAAUUACUGGGCGUAAAGGGCGCGUAGGCGGCCUUCUAAGUCAGACGUGAAAUCCCCCGGCUUAACCUGGGAACUGCGUCUGAUACUGGAAGGCUUGAGUGCGGGAGAGGGAUGUGGAAUUCCAGGUGUAGCGGUGAAAUGCGUAGAUAUCUGGAGGAACACCGGUGGCGAAGGCGGCAUCCUGGACCGACACUGACGCUGAGGCGCGAAAGCUAGGGUAGCAAACGGGAUUAGAUACCCCGGUAGUCCUAGCCCUAAACGAUGAGUGCUUGGUGUGGCGGGUAUCGAUCCCUGCCGUGCCGAAGCUAACGCAUUAAGCACUCCGCCUGGGGAGUACGGUCGCAAGGCUGA
This 552-nucleotide ribosomal RNA is filed under the name uncultured Acidobacteriota bacterium. Its description in RNAcentral is "bacterial SSU rRNA". It matches the Rfam family "Bacterial small subunit ribosomal RNA", at positions 355 to 897 of the family's 1533-position model. The record is from RNAcentral. Lineage: Bacteria; Pseudomonadati; Acidobacteriota.